Acipenser ruthenus (sterlet) is the source of this 872-nucleotide RNA transcript. It is a transcript of the gene named prostate stem cell antigen-like, with no coding region annotated. Lineage: Eukaryota; Metazoa; Chordata; Actinopteri; Acipenseriformes; Acipenseridae. The transcript is spliced from 4 exons. The record is from RefSeq and is a predicted model, not a curated record.
UUGGCGACGGGGGCGUCGACGCAAAAUAGGGGGGGUAGAAUGUAACAGGUGGGACCGCGGGAACCAGGAAGUGUUAAUUGUUGGCAGUAUAAAUAUCGGCACCAUAAGGGUGCAAGAGAACCAGGUAGUCGAUGUGCAGCUGUGUUUUGGUGUUCCUGUGUUCCCGUGGUUCCCCCUGUGACGAGGGCGAGUCGGCGGAUAUUCUUUUGGACGUCAGUAUUCCGGACUCUCCCGAGUGGAAGCCCUGUUGUGCUACACGUGUACGGCCUCUGACUCCAAUGAGGCCUGCAACAAUAAGACUGUCCAGAACUGCACUUCUGCUGACGACACCUGCAUGACCACCGUCAUCACAGCGCUUAAAGUUCAUAGCAUCACAAAACUAUGUACCAUGAAAAGUAUCUGCGACACUACAGCUGCAGCCUCCAAUUCUGAGGGAAAAGUGACGUGCUGCAACACGGACCUGUGCAACGUGAAUGGCUCCACCACUGCCAGGCUCAAUGUGCUGCUUCUGGGGGCUUCAGCAGCUCUGCUUUUCCUGGUCAGCAGGAUCACAGCGUAAGGACAGCAGCACCCACCGCUAUUCUUCAUUGUCCUUUGGAAGAGUGUCUGCGUUUUUUCCCUUGCAUGUUGAAGUGUGAUAUUAUGAUAUUAUAAACCCCUUUCACUAUGAAAGUGCUGUGCUUUGUGUGGGUGUGUUUCUCUGUUGAUUUCCACAUUGAUGGGUGUUACAGUAUAUAGUAUAUGAUUUAGCAAUUAGAUACACUGAAGUUUCUGCACUUUUUUCUAAUAAAUAUGAAUUUCAUAAUGAAAUGAAAAAAAUAUAUAUGAUAUUGUUGCGGGUACUUCCCUGUGAAAAAAUAUAUUCCAUAUUU